GUCCACGCCCUAAACGAUGCAUAUUUGGUGUGGGUCAUUCAGUUGAUCCGUGCCGGAGCUAACGCGUUAAAUAUGCCGCCUGGGGAGUACAGUCGCAAGGCUGAAACUCAAAGGAAUUGACGGGGGCCCCGCACAAGCGGUGGAGCAUGUGGUUCAAUUCGACGCAACGCGAAGAACCUUACCUGGGCUCGAACGGCUGGUCAACGACCUUGGAAACAGGGUUACUCCGCAAGGGGGUCCAGUCGAGGUGCUGCAUGGCUGUCGU
RNAcentral lists this ribosomal RNA (265 nucleotides) under uncultured bacterium. RNAcentral describes it as "partial 16S ribosomal RNA". It matches the Rfam family "Bacterial small subunit ribosomal RNA", at positions 793 to 1055 of the family's 1533-position model. The record is from RNAcentral.